AUUGAACGCUGGCGGCAGGCCUAACACAUGCAAGUCGAACGAGUGGCGGACGGGUGAGUCAUGUCGGGGCAACUGGCCGAUGGAGGGGGAUAACUACUGGAAAAGGUAGCUACUACCGCAGACCAUCGGAUGUGCCACGAUGGGAUUAGCUAGUAGGUGGGGUAACGGCUCACGUAGGCGACGUGCCCUAGCUGGUCUGAGAGGAUGAGCAGCCACACUGGAACUGAGACACGGUCCAGACUCAUACGGUAGGCAGCAGUGGGGAAUAUUGCCCAAUGGACGAAAGCCUGAGGCAGCAACGCCGCGUGUGUGAAGAAGGCCUUCGGGUUGUAAAGUCCUUUCGGUGAGGAGGCGGUACUCGCAGAAGAAGCACCGGCUAACUCCGUGCCAGCCGCCGCGGUAAUUC
Molecule: ribosomal RNA, 406 nt
Filed under: uncultured bacterium
Lineage: Bacteria
Description: partial 16S ribosomal RNA
Rfam family: Bacterial small subunit ribosomal RNA
Source: RNAcentral